This 1017-nucleotide long non-coding RNA is filed under the name Citrus sinensis (sweet orange). Its description in RNAcentral is "long non-coding RNA (CSIN_LNC003151)". Lineage: Eukaryota; Viridiplantae; Streptophyta; Magnoliopsida; Sapindales; Rutaceae. The record is from RNAcentral.
GCACCGAUAUUCACACAAAGUUAAGCACAAAGCUUUGCACAAAACGGUUCGUUUUGUGCAAAGUAUAAAAGCUAUUUACACUUGCAAGCAACAACACCAAAUCACUGAACAAAUCCCCUAGGCAUGCAACAACGUUUCUCCCAUCUCUCUCUCUCUCUCUCUCAUUCUCCCUCUUUUAUCCCGCACCACACAGCAGUGCAGCAACCAUACUAAUGCUCAUGAUGUUACGAAUGAUACAAAGCUUCCCAUUCAGAGGAAUAAUUGCUGCAGUCCUUGGCAAUCAUAAGAAAUUUUGAAGAACCCAAUCAAACCAAACUAAGAAGGUCCCUCAUGUAAGAACAAAAUUCAAGAACGAUAACCAUUAAUCGCCAAAUUAAUAUAUGGUUUGUAAAAUAAUUUGAAGACCACAAUAUCCUUACCAAGAAUAAUAAUCAUUCAAAAUCUAUGAGGCCUCAAAAACAUAUUAAUUAAUCUUUAACAAUUAAUCAGUCUACAUCUUUAAUUACAAAUUAAUCUUUAGUCAAUUAAGCCAAUUGUGUUGGGGGAUAGAGAGCGAUGCAGUUGAGAUCGAGAGAAUGAGAGACAACGGAGCCGAGAGAGUGAGGAAGAUCGAAACCGAAAGAGUGAGGUAGACCGGAGCUGAGAGAGUGAGGGAGAUCGGAGCCCAGGGAGCCAACUAGAUGCUUUAAGCGAGAGACGAGAGAGUUGUCACUGCUGCUGCGUCAUAAGGGAGAACGGAGCUGAUAUCGAGCUUGUGUGUACACGGGAGAGAGAGAAGAAUGUUGUUGUGUGGUGGGGGAGAAAAGAGGGAGACGGGAGAGAGAGAUGGGAGGAACGUUGCUGCAGGAUUUGUUACGUGUGUGUGUGGCGGUGUUGCUUGCACGUGUGAAUGGCUUUUAUACUUCGCACAAAAAGAAUCAUUUUGUGCAAAGCUUUGUGCUGAGCUUUGUGAGAACAUCAUUUUCCUUUCACAAUUGCCUUUUGCUCUUCCUGUAAGUUUCAGAGUCUUGUUUUGCC